AUGAACGCUGGCGGCGUGCCUAACACAUGCAAGUCGAACGGAGAUUAGCGCUGACGAGACUUCGGUCAAAUCUUGUUAAAUCUUAGUGGCGGACGGGUGAGUAACGCGUGGGCAACCUGCCUCAUACUGGGGGAUAGCAGUUGGAAACGACUGAUAAUACCGCAUAAGCGCACGAGAUCGCAUGAUCUAGUGUGAAAAACUCCGGUAGUAUGAGAUGGGCCCGCGUCAGAUUAGCUAGUUGGUAAGGUAACGGCUUACCAAGGCGACGAUCUGUAGCCGGACUGAGAGGUCGGACGGCCACAUUGGGACUGAGACACGGCCCAAACUCCUACGGGAGGCAGCAGUGGGGGAUAUUGCACAAUGGAGGAAACUCUGAUGCAGCGACGCCGCGUGAGUGAAGAAGUAUUUCGGUAUGUAAAGCUCUAUCAGCAGGGAAGAAAGGCUCGCAAGAGAGAUGACGGUACCUGACUAAGAAGCCCCGGCUAACUACGUGCCAGCCGCCGC
RNAcentral lists this ribosomal RNA (504 nucleotides) under uncultured bacterium. RNAcentral describes it as "bacterial SSU rRNA". It matches the Rfam family "Bacterial small subunit ribosomal RNA", at positions 29 to 518 of the family's 1533-position model. The record is from RNAcentral.